Molecule: long non-coding RNA, 8240 nt
Organism: Melopsittacus undulatus (budgerigar)
Lineage: Eukaryota; Metazoa; Chordata; Aves; Psittaciformes; Psittaculidae
Source: Ensembl
GUCAUCUCACCGCGACCGCCUCUGUCUCCAUGGAGACGCGGCGCCCCGGAGCCCUCCCGAGCUCCAUAGAACAGCGGGAGGGGUCCGGGAACGGCGGCUCCGUAGAGCGGAGGGAGGGGGUCGGGAACGGCGGCUCCGUAGAGCGGAGGGAGGGGGUCGGGAAAGGCGGCUCCGUAGAGCGGAGGGAGGGGGCCGGGAACGGCGGCUCCGUAGAGCGGAGGGAGGGGUCGGGAACGGCGGCUCCGUAGAGCGGAGGGAGGGGGCCGAGAAUGGUGCAGGCAGGUGCGGUAACCGAGCACCCCCCCCCCCGCAGCCCGUGUGCCCCUGUCCUAUUGCGGCUGAGCUCGGCUGAGCGCAUCCCUAUGGAGCAUCCCGGAGCCAUGGAUGUGCCAUGGAUGUGCCAUGGAUGUGCCAUGGACACGGGGCUGAAGAGCUGCGGGAACAGGGAUGGGAGGAGCUGAUCCCAGCGCUGCCGGUGCCGGAUGACACCAUCCAAGUGCGAACUCAUCCCAAGUAACUCCAGGCUCUGUUCCCUUCUCCAGCCGGGAUAACAUGGAGCCGAUUCAUGGCUCCGACCUCGGGCUCCUGACUGGAAGCAAAGCCGUUCAGAGGAUCCUGUGCCCUAUGGCUGCCCAGCUCUGCCACCUCAUCCUGGCCCUGGAAGGGGAGCAUGGGAUCUGUCCCGAUAUAGGGCAGGAGGCAGAAGCGUUGGCUCAAGCCACAGAGGAACUCGCUGCUGCUGCAAUGAGGCUGGCUGAGGAUGCUGGAGAUGAGCUCCUGGAGGAGACACAUCCUGCGGCCGAGGCGCUGGUGCUGGCGGGCAGGAAGGUGGUGCUGGCAGCCGGCAGGGUCCGGGCACAGCCACACAGCCCUGGCCACAGGGAGGAGCUGACAGCGGCUGCACGGGGGGUACUGAUGGAGACAGCGAAGAUCCUGCGGUUGGGAGAUGCUGCUGGGACAAGGAGCAUCCUGCAGGCUGCCCACUGCCUUCUGGAGUGCCUGAACAUGCUGCAGGGCACAGGGGAUGCACCAGGAGCACCGGAUCCUUCCCAAGCCUUGUCCGAUGCUGUGCUGGUGCUGAGCAGCCUGACAGCACAGCGCAUAGAGGGAAUGGGUGAGUGUCCUCGACGGCAGAGCCUGGCCCGAGCCCUGCAGCUCCUGCAGCAGCAGCUCCCGAUGCUCCAUGCGGCCAUGGACAGGGAUAUCAGAUGCUCCCGGGAUCAGGAACUCGGAUGCUCCCAGGAUCAGGAACUCAGCCUCUCCAAGGAUAACACCUUCCGGAUGAUGGAGAACACCAUCACGGAGCUCACAUCCCUGCUCAUGGAUGGUACCCAUAGUGAGGAGCCUCAGGACACAAGCGGGACCUUCACCCAUCACAUACACAGGCUGCAGGCUCUGCUGUCUGCCCCGGACCCCCUGCUGCUGUCUGACAACACCCUCAGUGCUCACCUGGGAGCUGUUGUUCUCCAUUGCAUGCUCCUGGCAGAGGCAUCGAGGCCGGAGCAGAGGCUGGAGCUGGUCCAGCACUGCCAGGCUCUGCUGCGGCUCUGGAACAGCAUCUGCAGCCCAGGGGGGCACCAGGAGGGGCAGUGCCACAGCAUGAGGCAGGAGGUGCAGAGCCUGCAGCAGGCAGUGCUCACAGCCACACUGUGCCAGCUCCUGGAUGCCUGUGCCGAGGAUGAGGAUCCCCUCCGGGUGCUGGUUGAAGGUGCCCUCAGCCUCGCUGCCUCCGGUGCCUGCCCUGCAGGGCCAGGGGGGUUCCUACAGCAGCUGCACCCCCUCAUUGCUGCUGUCCUCAGGCAGGGCAUGGGGCUGCUCAGAGGGGCAGAGCUGCUCCUGGCGCUGUGCACUGAGCCCCACACUGCUGCUGAGGUCCUGGAGCUGCGGCAGCACAUGGGGACGCUCCUGGCGCGCAUCCCUGCCCUGCUCAUCACCAUGGGCACCAAUGGGGCUGGGGCAGGUGGUGCUGAGCAGCUGCAGUCCCUGCACCAGGCCUGGGCUGCAGCAGUGCAGAGCCUCCUGUGGUGCUGUGCGGACACCACCGGCACACGUCGGUUCCUCACGGUGGCCAUGCAGGAGAUGGGCAAGCACCAGGAAUGCUGCCAACGGGCCCUGGGGAGCCAGGACCCCGAGGGGUUCUCAUGGCACAUCACCCACCUCAGCCGCUGGGCACGGUGGGUGGUGGGAGCCAGCACCAGGUAUGUGGAUGGAGCCACCGAUCCCAUCUUCAGGAAUGGUUUGCUGGUCUGGAUCCAGCAGCUGUCGAGCUCUAUCCCGGAGCUGGAAGCGGCUGCAGUGCUCUGUGCACAGAGCAUCUCCUGCCUCCGGAGCAGGGAUGUGUUUUCCAAGGCACUGAGCUCCCUGAUGGAUGCUGCUCAGCGUGUGCAGGACGGGCUGGAUGGGUCCAACCACCCCGACCUCCUCAGCCCCCUGCGGGAACACGUGCGAGGAGUGGAUGUGACAGAGGGGGUUGAGCUCAGCCCAUCUCCUGCGGGGCUAAAACCCACUAUGGACUCAGCUGUGCUGCUGCAGGAACACUCCUUCCCUGCUCCAUCUUCACCUGCAGGGUGCUCCGCACCAAGGGAUGGAUCCUUACACCCGGUGAUCACAGCUCUGCUGGCAGCAGCAGCAGCCCAGGACACAGCCUCACUCCAUGCUGCAUGCUCAGCCUUGCUCCAGCUCACCCAUGGCUUUGUGUGUGCAGCAAAGGAAGCACUGCCCCUCUCCGAGCAUCCCCAUAGGGACAGCCUGGAGCAGGCUCCAGCUAUGGAGCUGCUGACCACACAUGUACUGAGCCUGGCCAGAGCUGCAGCCCCACAGCAGUGCCCCUGCCCCACUGACCUGCUCCAUGCAGCACGCAGGCUCUCAGACAGGCUCUGUGACACCAUGGAGGGCCUGGCAGCCGUGGCAGGGCCCUGGUAUGUGCUGUCCCAGCAGGUCCUUGCCUUCACCGUGGCCGCUGACCCCCUGAGGGGCAGGCAGGCUGUGGCUGACACCAUGGUGGGUAUAGCAGCAGCGGUCCGGUUCGUGGCACACACCAUGGGAAGCUCCAUUUGCCCCCAUGAGGGUUGGCAGAGCUUCCUGCAGGUGCAGAGCACGUUUGCCCGUGCUCAGGUGAGCACCAACGCGUUGCUGGAGGAGGCAGCAUCCUCAGAGGGCUCCGUGCUGGGCAGGGCCAGGCUGGAGCUGCUGUGUGUGCAAUGGGCUGUGAGCACACGUGUGCUGCUGGCGGCUCUGGACCAGUUCAUCGGCAGGGAUGUGCUGCUGGGGGAGCUGGGGAGCGCGGUGAGGAACCGGUUCUGUCCCCACAGCAUCCUGGCUGCUGUGUCUGAGCGCUCCCUAAGGCUGCAGGAGGCUGCCCGGCUCUCAUCCUGCCCUGGAUCCCAUGGGCACAGUGAGAUCCUGGUGCUCCGGGAGGAGAUCCGGGUGCUGAUGGAGGCGCUGCUGGAGGCCUCCAGCACCAUCCUGCUGUCCCCACUGCCUCACGCCAGCCUGUGCGCUCGCUGGGAGCUCCUGCAGAGGGACCUGGGCCUCAGGGUCAAGGUGCUGCUGAUCCACCUGGAGAAGGUCAAUGCUGAGCACUUGAGGGUGAUCAGAGACGUUGUUGGACCUGCAUUGAUGCCUCUGUCCCAGCAGGAGAGGGAAAGGAGCAAAGAGGCCUUUGAAGAGAAAGCAAACAGGCUAAUGGCAAAUGUACAGUGGGUCACAACCACCCUCCACCAUGUGCUGGAGGCCAACACUCAACCGGAGCUGCAGGCAAACCUGCUCUCCAUGGCAGAGCACCUCCUGCUGCUCACAUCCAAUGCCAUGGGCAGUGCCAGGCAGCUCCUUCAGAGCCCCAGGGAUGGAGAGCACCUCCACCUGGAGAGCAUCAUCUGGUGCUGGGCUGCAGGGGCACAGUACCUGCUCACACAGCUGCAGGCUGUGCAGGGCAUCGGUGGGGAUGUCCUGGAGCUCAUCAGGCAUCACCUGCAGGACACAGGGGACCGGAGCUUCCCAAGGCAACACAGCAGCACAGCCAGGCUCUUCCCAGCCCUGGAGCCUCAGAGCCACACCAGGGCAAUGGAGACCUGCCCAAGAACGAGUGGAGCUGCCACGGAGGCACCUGCAAUGCAGCCCAAGGGUCCUGCCAGCACCAGUGUGAAGCACGAGACAGAAAGCAGUGACAUGGGGCAGGGAGGCCCCAGCAGGAUGUCCCAGGUCACCAAGGACACAGCCACAAGGAUGCUCCACAUGACUCAGUUCCUCAGGAGGAAGGGCCCCAUCACAGUAAGGAGCAUGUUCCCCCCUCCACCCCAGCACCAUUCCCCCCCACAAGAGCAGGAUUAGAGCCAGUGAUGGGGCUGCUCAGCAGCCAUUGAACCCCCAUCUCCCCACACUACCCCAUGCCUGUGAGGGUGGCACCAGCUCUAUUUAUGCAAAGCACAAGACAUUACUUCCCCCAGUGAGGUGUGAGCUUGGCAUCCAGCCCUUUCCUGUUUGAGACCAUCCCUGGGCUCUGCUCUGGAGCCAGGCUGAGAGAGCUGGGCUGGGGCAGCCUGGACAAGAGAAGGGGAGAGCUGAGAGCAGCUCCAGUGCCUAAAGGGGCUGCAGGAAAGCUGGAGAGGGGCUUGGGACAAGGGAUGUAGGGACAGGCCAAGGGGAAUGGCUUGAACCUGCCAGAACAGGGGAGACUGAGCUGAGCUCUGAGGCAGAAGCUGUUCCCUGUGAGGGUGCUGAGGCGCUGGCACAGGGUGCCCAGAGAAGCUGUGGCUGCCCCAUCCCUGGCAGUGCUCAAGGCCAGGUUGGACACAGGGGCUUGGAGCAGCUGCUCCAGUGGAAGGGGUCCCUGCCCGUGGGAUGGAUGAGCUUUAAGGUCCCUUCCAAACCAUUCCAUGAUGCUGUGACCUUCCCAUCUUGCAGGAAAAGAGCCUUUUUCCUCCUUCCCCCUUUAUUUGUCUCCUGUUCCAGAGCAAGGACCAGCUGGUUGCCUGCGCGAGGCAGAUGGCUCUGCAUGGGCAGCAGUUUGUCACCUUUGGCCGUGCCCUGGCCAGGCUCUGCCUGGACACGAGGUGCUCCAUGGAGCUGCUGAGUGCCACCGAGCAGGCUCACACCAUCAGCAGCCAGCUCAGCAUCGUGGCCAGGUGAGGCACCUCUCCAAGGCCUUGGGGGCCUGGGUCGAGCAUCAGAGCUCCCCUUUGGGUUCCUGUAGACAGCCCUUUGCUCCCCUGUUCUCCCUGGAACCUGCUCUGAUAGUGCAGGGAAUGAUGUGGGUUUGGAGCAGGAGUAAUGGAGCACACGGGGGGAACGCACCGAUGCUCUUCCAUGCUUUGUAAUGUCUCUGAAGGGUAAAAGCAGUCACUGCAGAGAGCAAAUCCUCUUCUGAGCUGCUCGUGAGCAACACACAGAACCUGGUCCAGGCAGUUCUGCACAUCCUGAAGGCAGCUGAGGCAGCGUGUGUCAAAGUAAGUGCAUGCUGAUGGCACCAGAUGGGCUCUGCAAGGUGAGUCCAUGCUGGGGAGCUCUGACAGCCAUGGCUGUGAUGGGAGGUGGGAGCUGCCUGCUGUGGGACCUCUGCUUGUCCUGUGGUUGUACUUCCUGCCUCUGCCUUGUUUCCAAAGCCCAGCACGCUUCUUUCCAAGCAUCCAUAGGCUCUGUCACUGCUAACACCUCUGAAGUCCUGUUAGCACAUCUGCCUCUUCAUCUGUGGGCAGGGGAGCAGCAGGGUCUCACUGGAUGCCUGUAUCUGGAAGUGGUCCAUGUUGGUCUUAGCCUUUACACUGGCUCAAGAUGGGCUUUGAUCAACACCCCCAGGAGCUUCCUUGGGUGCCUGAUUGAUCUGACUGUACAGUCUGUGAGAGCAGCUCUGCCUGAAAGCACUCAGGACCAAGCACAAGUGCAUCCAGAGCCUCCUCUGGGGCAGUUUUCCAUCCUCUGCCCAGUUUCCUGGGUAUUCCUGCUUCUCCUGAGCCUUCUGAGUCUUUCUGGGAGAGACACAUGUUGUUAGAGCCAUUGGAUGAACAUCAGCCAGGUGACAAAGCUCCUCCUGUGCUCAAUUACUGCUAAAAGCAUCAUGUAUGUCCUUUUCUCACUGAUGUGAUCCUCAAGGAACAAGCCAUGCUUUCAUUUUGUCCUUUAAAAGCCCUUUACAACCUGGCUUUUUCCCUUUGGGAACAUCCCUAAACUGACUCUCCUGCAUUUCUUUUCUCAUUCUGGAAGCAGGUUUUUAAGCACUUUUAAGCAUUUCUAAGGCAUUAACAGGCAGAGAACCCACACUGGUCCCGCACACAUGGAUACACUCAGACUUCUCCAUCAUUUAAGGUAUUUUAAAUGAGUACAUAUACAAUACAUUAAAGCAUCCACAUAUUGUGUCUCACAGGGCCUGCGCCAGCCUCUGCCUGACACUGAGGAAGCAGCAGCAGCUGCUCUGUGCAUGCAGUGGAGAAGAAACCUGUUCCUGCACAGAGCCAAAGCAUCCUUCACCUCAGACAGGGAUGAACUGGGGCUGCGCAGGACUCGGACCACAGCUGAGCCCUCCCUGGUGGCAAUGGUGCAAGAACCACACACCAAGGACACCCCUGAGCACCCACGAGGUGUUAAAGGAGGUACAAUUAUGGGUGGCCACCUGUAGAAAGAGGAAGGGGCUUGUGCCUCCUUUUGGUGAGUGAACAGAGGAGAAUGAUGCCACAAACCAGGGCAGGCAGCCUGUGAUGUGGUACCUUCACUGUCCCAGCAGCUGCCAGUUCUGUGCUCUGCAGCACCCAAGAUGUGAACAGGAGGAGGUAGGACCACACUGGGAGCAGCAGCAGAUAUGGUUGGGGGGAAUAAGUAGGGCCAGGCCAAAGGGAAUGGCUUGAACCUGCCAGAACAGGGGAGACUGAGCUGAGCUCUGAGGCAGAAGCUGUUCCCUGGGAGGGUGCUGAGGCGCUGGCACAGGGUGCCCAGAGAAGCUGUGGCUGCCCCAUCCCUGGCAGUGCUCAAGGCCAGGCUGGACACAGGGGCUUGGAGCAGCUGCUCCAGUGGAAGGGGUCCCUGCCCGUGGCAGGGGUUGGAGCUGGAGGAGCUUUAAGGUCCCUUCAACACAAACCAGGUUGGGAUCCUAUGAAGGAUCAGGGGUUCUGUGAACAACCCAAUUACUCAUCUCCCACCCAAGAAAGCCACUGAGCUGGAAGGUCCUUCUCAGGCCCUGAUCUUUAGCACUUUAUCAACCUGUUCUGCAACCAUCCCCUUUUCUUCUCAGGGUAACAAUCCUAAAUACUGCACAGGAAGGGCAGCCAGAGAGGUAGAGCCCUGCAGCAGGCUCACACACUAAACAUGAAGUCAGGAGGGUAACAUGCACUACAGAAGCUGGAGGGAAGAUGCACUGAAUGAGAAGUGAGCCUAAGGGAGUUAAUUCAGGCAUCACCAAGAUCUGAAACACAAAACAGGAGUGCAAUUGUUCUGUUUGCAAGAAUAAAUGGAUUUCAUUUGCACUACGAAGGGUUUGUGUUGAGUCUUUUCAUCCCAGUAGGGAAAUACAAACCAGGCUUUUUGUUGUGGGGCAGCAAACCCCAGGCAGUGGCUGAGCAAUGCUCAGUCCUCCUGCAGUGCAGGAUCAGCCAAGACCAGACACCAACACCAACUCCUUCCCAUCUCCAGGGCUAGGAGUGGGGAGCAUUUUCCUGCCAAGAACUGAGACUUUCCUCCCCAAACCCCCUCAGCCCUGAGUAAGAUCCUCAAUGUAUCACUCACCUCAUAGCUAUGGGCUUCUGGAGUACCCAGGACCAACACCACAGCUGCUCCUGCUCUCCACUUCCAUGCUUCCAUAGCUCAGGGUGUGAGUUUCAAGCAUCCAAGGGGAAUGCUGCUCCAUGCCAGCACACUGCACUGCGGGAAGAGACAACACACACUGAAUCCAUCAGCAGAUCCGAUGUGACCUGCUCGGUGGCUGGAGCAGGACUGUCCCCACCGACAGCUCCAGCAUCUUCCCCAUAUCAGAUAGCUUCUUACUUGCACUGUAGGGAUGGAUCUCCUCUGUGUUUCAGGAGAGCAACAGCACAGCAGGGAAUCUGUAAGGAGUACACCCACAGGCAGAGGUGGAUGGAGGAGCAGCAGCAUCCUGCAGCCCCUGGUGCUGUAGCUGGGAAAUCCGGAGGCUGGAUCUGGCAGGAGGAAGGAAGGAAGCAGUUAACACAUGGAGACAAGAGGCUGCAAGCACCAGCUGCCCCCUUUCAGCUUACCUGUGCCCCUGCUGGUCCAGAAUGAAGGGUAUUGGACUGAAG